CCUACGGGCGGCAGCAGUGAGGAAUAUUGGUCAAUGGGCGCGAGACUGCCCCAGCCAAGUCGCGUGAAGGAUGACUGCCCUACGGGUUGUAAACUUCUUUUAUAAAGGAAUAAAGUGAGGCACGUGUGCAUUUUUGUAUGUACUUUAUGACUAAGGCACGGCUAACUACGUUCCAGCAGCCGCGGUAAUACGGAGGAUCCGAGCGUUAUCCGGAUGUAUUGGGUUGAAAGGGAGCGUAGAUGGGUUGUUAAGUCAGUUGUGAAAUUUUGCGGAUCAACCGUAAAAUUGCAAUUGAUACUGGCAGCCUUGAGUACAGUUGAGGUAGGCGGAAUUCGUGGUGUAGCGGUGAAAUGCUUAGAUAUCACGAAGAACUCCGAGUGCGAAGGCAGCCUACUAAACUGCCACUGACAUUGAUGCUCGAAAGUGUGGGUAUCAAACAGGAUUAGAUACCCUUGUAGUC
This 460-nucleotide ribosomal RNA is filed under the name uncultured bacterium. RNAcentral describes it as "partial 16S ribosomal RNA". It matches the Rfam family "Bacterial small subunit ribosomal RNA", at positions 338 to 795 of the family's 1533-position model. The record is from RNAcentral.